UUUUAGGAUGACUCGAUAUCAAACAAAGUCUGAAAAAAAAAAAAAAGGACGCAUUCCUUAUUUGCCCUAAACAAGAUCGACUGCCUCCUAUUCUUUCAUUCCCUUCGUGUUUGCUUCUCCGCGUCUGUUUCUCUACACCUUCCGAUGAUGCCGCUGAAACGGCGCCCGCCCACCCAAAACGUCGACGACGCUGCACCCAGCAACGCCGCCGCCACCGCCGCAAGUUCUUCUAUCUCCAACUCGUUCUUCCACCGACGCAACUGUUGAGCAUAAAGUUAUUGCUGACAAGUGAUAUGAUACCAGUAAUUCCAACUCCGAAGUCCUCUACAUAGGUUCUGAUUCCAGCUGAAACAAAAGGAACCACCAUCAAUGAUAUGGGCUGUAAUUUCAAAUCUAGUUCAUCGGAGAUUAUAUCUCCAGUUCAUUAAUUGGGCAUGUCUCUAUGCCUUUUUGCGUGCUCUGUUUCCAGUUCAUGAGUUGCCACUCUCCUUGAUACAACUUGUAAUCUACUUUCAAGAAUAACUAUUAAGGGUUUUUCUUUCAAGAAUGUGUUUAUACUUGUCAUGAUAUGUAAGAAAUAGCAAUGUACUUUUAUUGAUUUUUUUAUUGUAAAGUCAAACUUUCACCUCUUCCUAUUAGACCAUUGUAUUGUAUUUUGAAAAAUCUAUUUAGUUAAAACAAAGCAACUAUGAUUGCUAAUUGGAUUAGA
This is a long non-coding RNA of Lactuca sativa (garden lettuce), 709 nucleotides long. RefSeq lists it as uncharacterized. The record is from RefSeq and is a predicted model, not a curated record. NCBI's taxonomy places the organism in Eukaryota, Viridiplantae, Streptophyta, Magnoliopsida, Asterales, Asteraceae.